This is a long non-coding RNA of Drosophila guanche, 405 nucleotides long. RefSeq lists it as uncharacterized. The transcript has 3 exons. The record is from RefSeq and is a predicted model, not a curated record. Lineage: Eukaryota; Metazoa; Arthropoda; Insecta; Diptera; Drosophilidae.
AUUCCAGCAAUCAGACGGGCAGGUUCAAUUUGCCGUUUGUGCAGUGUUUGUCCCCCAGCGCAUUGAAAUCAAACUAAAUUCUAAAUCGGCGAAAAUUCGUGUCUAAUCCAUUUUACAAAAGAGAAUAUAAACCCUAUUUGCUACCCUUCCUCGUCCAUAAACCAACAAAAUUACAAGCAAUAUAUCGCUCGUGUUUCAAAAGUGUUCAAAUUAUACAAUUGUGUCAUCGAACGACCACCAUUGACCACCCCCAGUGACCAAAAAAUCAAGUGCUUCGAACGAAAAUUGUGCAUGCGGUUGUGACGGCGACAACGACUACGACUACCGAUCACAGUUAAUAGUCCAGAAGGAAAAGGAGCCCAUACAGUGCCAGCGCACUGAGGCAGAGCAGAAAUACAAACAAAA